Molecule: ribosomal RNA, 1484 nt
Filed under: uncultured Pseudomonas sp.
Lineage: Bacteria; Pseudomonadati; Pseudomonadota; Gammaproteobacteria; Pseudomonadales; Pseudomonadaceae
Description: bacterial SSU rRNA
Rfam family: Bacterial small subunit ribosomal RNA
Source: RNAcentral
GUUUGAUCCUGGCUCAGAUUGAACGCUGGCGGCAUGCCUUACACAUGCAAGUCGAACGGUAACAGGUUAAGCUGACGAGUGGCGAACGGGUGAGUAAUAUAUCGGAACGUGCCCAGUCGUGGGGGAUAACUGCUCGAAAGAGCAGCUAAUACCGCAUACGACCUGAGGGUGAAAGCGGGGGAUCGCAAGACCUCGCGCGAUUGGAGCGGCCGAUAUCAGAUUAGGUAGUUGGUGGGGUAAAGGCUCACCAAGCCAACGAUCUGUAGCUGGUCUGAGAGGACGACCAGCCACACUGGGACUGAGACACGGCCCAGACUCCUACGAGAGGCAGCAGUGGGGAAUUUUGGACAAUGGGCGCAAGCCUGAUCCAGCCAUGCCGCGUGCGGGAAGAAGGCCUUCGGGUUGUAAACCGCUUUUGUCAGGGAAGAAAAGGUUCUGGUUAAUACCUGGGACUCAUGACGGUACCUGAAGAAUAAGCACCGGCUAACUACGUGCCAGCAGCCGCGGUAAUACGUAGGGUGCAAGCGUUAAUCGGAAUUACUGGGCGUAAAGCGUGCGCAGGCGGUUAUGCAAGACAGAUGUGAAAUCCCCGGGCUCAACCUGGGAACUGCAUUUGUGACUGCAUAGCUAGAGUACGGUAGAGGGGGGAUGGAAUUCCGCGUGUAGCAGUGAAAUGCGUAGAUAUGCGGAGGAACACCGAUGGCGAAGGCAAUCCCCUGGACCUGUACUGACGCUCAUGCACGAAAGCGUGGGGAGCAAACAGGAUUAAAUACCCUGGUAGUCCACGCCCUAAACGAUGUCAACUGGUUGUUGGGAGGGUUUCUUCUCAGUAACGAAGCUAACGCGUGAAGUUGACCGCCUGGGGAGUACGGCCGCAAGGUUGAAACUCAAAGGAAUUGACGGGGACCCGCACAAGCGGUGGAUGAUGUGGUUUAAUUCGAUGCAACGCGAAAAACCUUACCUACCCUUGACAUGUCUGGAAUCCUGAAGAGAUUUGGGAGUGCUCGAAAGAGAGCCAGAACACAGGUGCUGCAUGGCCGUCGUCAGCUCGUGUCGUGAGAUGUUGGGUUAAGUCCCGCAACGAGCGCAACCCUUGUCAUUAGUUGCUACGAAAGGGCACUCUAACGAGACUGCCGGUGACAAACCGGAGGAAGGUGGGGAUGACGUCAGGUCAUCAUGGCCCUUAUGGGUAGGGCUACACACGUCAUACAAUGGCCGGGACAGAGGGCUGCCAACCCGCGAGGGGGAGCUAAUCCCAGAAACCCGGUCGUAGUCCGGAUCGUAGUCUGCAACUCGACUGCGUGAAGUCGGAAUCGCUAGUAAUCGCGGAUCAGCUUGCCGCGGUGAAUACGUUCCCGGGUCUUGUACACACCGCCCGUCACACCAUGGGAGCGGGUUCUGCCAGAAGUAGUUAGCCUAACCGCAAGGAGGGCGAUUACCACGGCAGGGUUCGUGACUGGGGUGAAGUCGUAACAAGGUAACCA